GACAGCAGCCGCCGCGGUAAUACAGAGGGUGCGAGCGUUAAUCGGAUUUACUGGGCGUAAAGCGUGCGUAGGCGGCUUCUUAAGUCGGAUGUGAAAUCCCUGAGCUUAACUUAGGAAUUGCAUUCGAUACUGGGAAGCUAGAGUAUGGGAGAGGAUGGUAGAAUUCCAGGUGUAGCGGUGAAAUGCGUAGAGAUCUGGAGGAAUACCGAUGGCGAAGGCAGCCAUCUGGCCUAAUACUGACGCUGAGGUACGAAAGCAUGGGGAGCAAACAGGAUUAGAUACCCGAGUAGUCCCUGUCUCUUAUAC
RNAcentral lists this ribosomal RNA (306 nucleotides) under uncultured bacterium. RNAcentral's name for it is "partial 16S ribosomal RNA". It matches the Rfam family "Bacterial small subunit ribosomal RNA", at positions 507 to 807 of the family's 1533-position model. The record is from RNAcentral.